GCCUGGGUGGCUCAGUCGGUUAAGCGUCUGACUUCGGCUCAGGUCACGAUCUCACACUCCGUGAGUUCGAGCCCCGUGUCAGGCU
Non-coding RNA from Felis catus (domestic cat), 85 nucleotides. Lineage: Eukaryota; Metazoa; Chordata; Mammalia; Carnivora; Felidae. The record is from Rfam.